Molecule: ribosomal RNA, 305 nt
Filed under: uncultured bacterium
Lineage: Bacteria
Description: partial 16S ribosomal RNA
Rfam family: Bacterial small subunit ribosomal RNA
Source: RNAcentral
CCUACGGGGGGCAGCAGUGGGGGAUAUUGCACAAUGGGGGGAACCCUGAUGCAGCGACGCCGCGUGGGUGAAGAAGCGCCUCGGCGCGUAAAGCCCUGUCAGCAGGGAAGAAAAUGACGGUACCUGAAGAAGAAGCCCCGGCUAACUACGUGCCAGCAGCCGCGGUAAUACGUAGGGGGCAAGCGUUAUCCGGAUUUACUGGGUGUAAAGGGGGCGCAGACGGCGAUGCAAGCCAGGAGUGAAAGCCCGGGGCUCAACCCCGGGACUGCAUUUGGAACUGUAAGGCUAGAGGGUCGGAGAGGCAG